Molecule: ribosomal RNA, 1007 nt
Filed under: Microsporidia sp. Operophtera bruceata OB1
Lineage: Eukaryota; Fungi; Microsporidia
Description: eukaryotic LSU rRNA
Rfam family: Microsporidia small subunit ribosomal RNA (bases 1-618)
Source: RNAcentral
CAGUAAACUAUGCCGACGAUGUGAUAUGAAAUUAUUUGUAUUACAUAAUAGAAAUUAGAGUUUUUUGGCUCUGGGGAUAGUAUGAUCGCAAGAUUGAAAAUUAAAGAAAUUGACGGAAGAAUACCACAAGGAGUGGAUUGUGCGGCUUAAUUUGACUCAACGCGAGGUAACUUACCAAUAUUUUAUUAUUUUGAGAGGAUUUUUAAUCUGAGAAUGAUAAUAGUGGUGCAUGGCCGUUUUCAAUGGAUGCUGUGAAGUUUUGAUUAAUUUCAACAAGACGUGAGACCCUUUUAUUAUAGACAGACACAAUCAGUGUAGGAAGGAAAGGAUUAAAACAGGUCCGUUAUGCCCUCAGACAUUUUGGGCUGCACGCGCAAUACAAUAGAUAUAUGAUCUUUAUGGGAUAAUAUUUUGUAAGAGAUAUUUGAACUUGGAAUUGCUAGUAAAUUUUAUUAAAUAAGUAGAAUUGAAUGUGUCCCUGUUCUUUGUACACACCGCCCGUCGCUAUCUAAGAUGAUAUAUGUUGUGAAAUUAGUGAAAACUACUUGAACAAUAUGUAUUAGAUCUGAUAUAAGUCGUAACAUGGUUGCUGUUGGAGAACCAUUAGCAGGAUCAUAACAAUGAAACAAAUAUAUGUAAAUUUUUUGCCCACACAUGGGAUCAAUAGGAUACCAUAACGAUGAAGGUCGUAAUAGAAUACGAAAGAGUAUUUACCGAAUUAAUACAUUAUAUGUAUUGAUAACCCUUUGAACUUAAGCAUAUCAUUAAAAGGAGGAAAAGAAACUAACUAGGAUUUCUUUAGUAGCGGCGAGUGAACAAGAAAGAACCCUUGAUUGUAAUCCUUAAUUGGAGAUGUAAAUCAUUUAUUCUAUUAUUUAUAUCAUAGAGAAUAUUAAUUCGUUAUUUGAUAGAAUAGAAUAAUUUCUUUGAGUAGGGCUGCUUGGUAGUGCAGUUUGAAUAUAGGUAGAAUGAGAUAUCUAAGGUUAAAUAUAAUGGUAUACCGAUAG